RNAcentral lists this ribosomal RNA (2857 nucleotides) under Campylobacter coli. Its description in RNAcentral is "bacterial LSU rRNA". It matches the Rfam family "Bacterial large subunit ribosomal RNA". The record is from RNAcentral. Lineage: Bacteria; Pseudomonadati; Campylobacterota; Epsilonproteobacteria; Campylobacterales; Campylobacteraceae.
AGCUACUAAGAGCGAAUGGUGGAUGCCUUGACUGGUAAAGGCGAUGAAGGACGUACUAGACUGCGAUAAGCUACGGGGAGCUGUCAAGAAGCUUUGAUCCGUAGAUUUCCGAAUGGGGCAACCCAAUGUAUAGAGAUAUACAUUACCUAUAUAGGAGCGAACGAGGGGAAUUGAAACAUCUUAGUACCCUCAGGAAAAGAAAUCAAUAGAGAUUGCGUCAGUAGCGGCGAGCGAAAGCGCAAGAGGGCAAACCCAGUGCUUGCACUGGGGGUUGUAGGACUGCAAUGUGCAAGAGGUGAGUUUAGCAGAACAUUCUGGAAAGUAUAGCCAUAGAGGGUGAUAGUCCCGUAUGCGAAAAACAAACCUUAGCUAGCAGUAUCCUGAGUAGGGCGGGACACGAGAAAUCCUGUCUGAAGCUGGGUCGACCACGAUCCAACCCUAAAUACUAAUACCAGAUCGAUAGUGCACAAGUACCGUGAGGGAAAGGUGAAAAGAACUGAGGUGAUCAGAGUGAAAUAGAACCUGAAACCAUUUGCUUACAAUCAUUCAGAGCACUAUGUAGCAAUACAGUGUGAUGGACUGCCUUUUGCAUAAUGAGCCUGCGAGUUGUGGUGUCUGGCAAGGUUAAGCAAACGCGAAGCCGUAGCGAAAGCGAGUCUGAAUAGGGCGCUUAGUCAGAUGCUGCAGACCCGAAACGAAGUGAUCUAUCCAUGAGCAAGUUGAAGCUAGUGUAAGAACUAGUGGAGGACUGAACCCAUAGGCGUUGAAAAGCCCCGGGAUGACUUGUGGAUAGGGGUGAAAGGCCAAUCAAACUUCGUGAUAGCUGGUUCUCUCCGAAAUAUAUUUAGGUAUAGCGUUGUGUCGUAAUAUAAGGGGGUAGAGCACUGAAUGGGCUAGGGCAUACACCAAUGUACCAAACCCUAUCAAACUCCGAAUACCUUAUAUGUAAUCACAGCAGUCAGGCGGCGAGUGAUAAAAUCCGUCGUCAAGAGGGAAACAACCCAGACUACCAGCUAAGGUCCCUAAAUCUUACUUAAGUGGAAAACGAUGUGAAGUUACUUAAACAACCAGGAGGUUGGCUUAGAAGCAGCCAUCCUUUAAAGAAAGCGUAAUAGCUCACUGGUCUAGUGAUUUUGCGCGGAAAAUAUAACGGGGCUAAAGUAAGUACCGAAGCUGUAGACUUGCGCACAACUUAGAUUAUUUAAGUUUAGAAUAUGAGAAACUAAGUUAUAUGUUUAGUUAUAUUUUUACUGAUUUUUAUAGAGUAAAGAUAGAAAUAAAACUUAGUAAAAUCAGUAAAAAUAUUCUUAGACUAAAGUUAAGUAGUUUAAGUUGUGUGCAAGUGGUAGGAGAGCGUUCUAUUUGCGCCGAAGGUAUACCGGUAAGGAGUGCUGGAGCGAAUAGAAGUGAGCAUGCAGGCAUGAGUAGCGAUAAUUAAUGUGAGAAUCAUUAACGCCGUAAACCCAAGGUUUCCUACGCGAUGCUCGUCAUCGUAGGGUUAGUCGGGUCCUAAGUCGAGUCCGAAAGGGGUAGACGAUGGCAAAUUGGUUAAUAUUCCAAUACCAACAUUAGUGUGCGAUGGAAGGACGCUUAGGGCUAAGGGGGCUAGCGGAUGGAAGUGCUAGUCUAAGGUCGUAGGAGGUUAUACAGGCAAAUCCGUAUAACAAUACUCCGAGAACUGAAAGGCUUUUUGAAGUCUUCGGAUGGAUAGAAGAACCCCUGAUGCCGUCGAGCCAAGAAAAGUUUCUAAGUUUAGCUAAUGUUGCCCGUACCGUAAACCGACACAGGUGGGUGGGAUGAGUAUUCUAAGGCGCGUGGAAGAACUCUCUUUAAGGAACUCUGCAAAAUAGCACCGUAUCUUCGGUAUAAGGUGUGGUUCGCUUCGUAUUAGGAUUUACUCCGAAAGCGAAGAAACUUACAACAAAGAGUCCCUCCCGACUGUUUACCAAAAACACAGCACUCUGCUAACUCGUAAGAGGAUGUAUAGGGUGUGACGCCUGCCCGGUGCUCGAAGGUUAAUUGAUGGGGUUAGCAUUAGCGAAGCUCUUGAUCGAAGCCCGAGUAAACGGCGGCCGUAACUAUAACGGUCCUAAGGUAGCGAAAUUCCUUGUCGGUUAAAUACCGACCUGCAUGAAUGGCGUAACGAGAUGGGAGCUGUCUCAAAGAGGGAUCCAGUGAAAUUGUAGUGGAGGUGAAAAUUCCUCCUACCCGCGGCAAGACGGAAAGACCCCGUGGACCUUUACUACAGCUUGACACUGCUAUUUGGAUAAGAAUGUGCAGGAUAGGUGGGAGGCUUUGAGUAUAUGACGCCAGUUGUAUAUGAGCCAUUGUUGAGAUACCACUCUUUCUUAUUUGGGUAGCUAACCAGCUUGAGUUAUCCUCAAGUGGGACAAUGUCUGGUGGGUAGUUUGACUGGGGCGGUCGCCUCCCAAAUAAUAACGGAGGCUUACAAAGGUUGGCUCAGAACGGUUGGAAAUCGUUCGUAGAGUAUAAAGGUAUAAGCCAGCUUAACUGCAAGACAUACAAGUCAAGCAGAGACGAAAGUCGGUCUUAGUGAUCCGGUGGUUCUGUGUGGAAGGGCCAUCGCUCAAAGGAUAAAAGGUACCCCGGGGAUAACAGGCUGAUCUCCCCCAAGAGCUCACAUCGACGGGGAGGUUUGGCACCUCGAUGUCGGCUCAUCGCAUCCUGGGGCUGGAGCAGGUCCCAAGGGUAUGGCUGUUCGCCAUUUAAAGCGGUACGCGAGCUGGGUUCAGAACGUCGUGAGACAGUUCGGUCCCUAUCUGCCGUGGGCGUAAGAAGAUUGAAGAGAUUUGACCCUAGUACGAGAGGACCGGGUUGAACAAACCACUGGUGUAGC